GUAAAAGUAGGACUGUCCUGCAUUAAUUUACUGCCAGGUUUUUUUUGUUUGUUAGUUUUUCAGAACUCUACAGACUUGUCCAUGAAUGGUCAAGAAGACAGCUUGUGUCCUCAAUAGCACACAGAAGCCUAAGGAGCUAGGAUUCCUUGAGAAUUGCAUUUUGGCUCCUCAGUCCCACUGGCAAGACAUACUUCACCAGGCCUCAGGCUCCAGAAAAAACAUUCUUCCACAGUGCUGCAACGCCUGGUAGAAAAUCCAGCAAUUUCAGAAAGCCUGAAAAAGUCUGGCAUGUUUUCUGGAACAAGGAAGAGAACUACUGUCCUGAUAACCACACUGAGAGGGCCAGCUGUCUCGGGAAAGCCAUAGGUAAAAUGGCCCAUCUGCUCGCUUGCUCAUGAAGACUUCUAACAGACGUUUAGAGAAGAGGGUCCUCUGUAGAGCCUCAAGACCUACACAGUGACAAUGGACUGUAUGUUCGGAAGACAAGCAGAUGCUGAUCAGUAAGACAACCCAAUCUUCCACCACAACCCAGGCCAGUCAGUUUGAUAGCUUUAGCUAUAUUAUCUCUUUUUCUGUGAAGACUACCUAGCAGAAGCAUAGCAGAAUCUAGCACAAAAAAGGAUCUCUUUUUAAAUCUUCAGUUUAUUCCUAAAUGUGUUUCUUCCUGAGGUACAGUAGCCAACAUCUGUAUUUAGGGAAGUUUCAUCCCAUGAUGGAACUUUAAAUAUAAACUUCAAAGAUGUGUCAUUAGUCUUGCAAAGGUUCACCACCAAUGGAUUACUCUGCUCUCUUUCUUACAAGAAAGCCUGAAAAAGCUGUGAGUUGGGAAGAGAGUCAGAUUUCACAGCAGAAAGCAGCAUUGCAACCAUGAAAACUAGCUCUAGAGACACCUUUUGGCAGUUUCAUUAGUUUCAUUGGCUUGCAGAGGGAGAAAAGGAUGGCCCAGCAGACAAGAGGAAUCUUAGACACAUUCUAGGGAACACUUAUUUCUCAAGUUUCCCUAAUACUUGUGAAACCUUACUUUAUGAAAAAAAGUAAGGCCUUAAAUUGUGACUGUUCCUCACUAAAUAUGAGCCUUAAUACUUACAAAUUAAACAAUAAAAGUCAGAACCAUUUAUCA
This 1120-nucleotide long non-coding RNA is filed under the name Struthio camelus australis. RNAcentral describes it as "lncRNA (ENSSCUG00000014098.1)". Lineage: Eukaryota; Metazoa; Chordata; Aves; Struthioniformes; Struthionidae. The record is from RNAcentral.